RNAcentral lists this ribosomal RNA (449 nucleotides) under uncultured bacterium. RNAcentral describes it as "partial 16S ribosomal RNA". It matches the Rfam family "Bacterial small subunit ribosomal RNA", at positions 29 to 523 of the family's 1533-position model. The record is from RNAcentral.
AGCGAACAUUGGCGGUAGGCUUAACACAUGCAAGUCGAGCGAGGCGUAAUAGUCGAGCGGCGAACGGGUGAGUAAUACAUGGGAAUCUACCCUGAAGUGGGGGAUAACGUUCAGAAAUGGACGCUAAUACCGCAUAAUCCACAUUGGGAAAGCGCGCUGCGCUUUAGGAUGAGCCCAUGGCUGAUUAGCUUGUUGGUGAGGUAACGGCUCACCAAGGCGACGAUCAGUAGCUGGUCUGAGAGGAUGAUCAGCCACACUGGAGCUGAGCCACGGUCAAGACUCCUACGGGAGGCAGCAGUGGGGAAUCUUGCGCAAUGGGGGCAACCCUGACGCAGCCAUACCACGUGUGCGAUGAAGGUCUUCGGAUUGUAAAGCACUUUCAGCAGGGACGACGAUGACGGUACCUGCAGAAGAAGUCACGGCUAACUUCGUGCCAGCAGCCGCCGUAA